UACGGAGGAUGCAAGCGUUAUCCGGAAUGAUUGGGCGUAAAGCGUCCGCAGGUGGCUGUGUAAGUCUGCUGUUAAAUAGUGAGGCUCAACCUCAUAAAGGCAGUGGAAACUACACGGCUAGAGUGCGUUCGGGGCAGAGGGAAUUCCUGGUGUAGCGGUGAAAUGCGUAGAUAUCGUAAGGAAGACCAGUGGCGAAGGCGGAUCUCUGGACAGUUACUGACACUGAGGCACGAAGGCCAGGGGAGCAAACAGG
RNAcentral lists this ribosomal RNA (253 nucleotides) under uncultured bacterium. RNAcentral's name for it is "partial 16S ribosomal RNA". It matches the Rfam family "Bacterial small subunit ribosomal RNA", at positions 524 to 776 of the family's 1533-position model. The record is from RNAcentral.